Photinus pyralis (common eastern firefly) is the source of this 2277-nucleotide long non-coding RNA. RefSeq lists it as uncharacterized. The record is from RefSeq and is a predicted model, not a curated record. NCBI's taxonomy places the organism in Eukaryota, Metazoa, Arthropoda, Insecta, Coleoptera, Lampyridae. The transcript is spliced from 2 exons.
UCUCGGUCAAUUUAGUAAAUUGAAAUUAAAAUGAUGAGAUACCUAUAUCACACGCGUUAGAUGAGUGAUUUGCCACGAGUUGGGUUAAUUAGAAAGUGAUCCGUCAGUGUAUGAAAGAUAGACUAUGAUUUUCAAUCGCUGUUCAUGUUAUAAUGGCAUAAUCCAAAAUGAUUGUGUAAGUACUUGAACUUCAUUUUGUGCAAUCCAACCCAACCUCUACCUACUGUCUUGGCGUGAUCAAUAUUAACAUAGUAAUCACCUUUUGUAAAAAAUUAAUAGCGGUUUUAUGCCAUUCCAUUUUGAAUCAUCCUGUAUCUAACUAUUUAGGAUAGAAUAGUUUCGUUGCCUGUUUUAAAAAUUUUUCCAUUUAUCUAUAUUCGUCGGGCUAUACUAUAACUUAUGGAAGAAGUGAUAUAGAGUUCGCGGGACAAGCCCUGGAGUACUGAGGCUCGAGACUCGAGCUGAUUUAAGGACCAAAUUUUAAAGAAUCAAAAUAUUCAGAAUGGAAAAUGAGUCACAAACCAUCAUUCAUGUACGAACGUUUAGAAUUUCAGAUUCCAGGUGAAUCAAAUUGCAGGAUGAUUCAAGAUUAGCAUUGGUUCCAUAAACGAUUCAGGAUUCAAAAUGAGUGGACCAUCAAGAUUAAAGUUACCCAUGCGUUCGUUAAUGCCUUUGUGACAACUUGGAUCUGGUUUAUUAAACUUUUCGCUUAUUUUAGAGAAGAUGAUGGUAAUUGUUUAGAUAAGGUAAUUCCAGGAAAUAUUGUAUACGUGCCAAUUUGAGUGUCUCUGGAGAUGCUGUUUUUGUGGUUUGCUUGGUUACUAUGAAUUUGUAAUUACGCAUAUUAAGUAAGGAAAACCGUUUAAAUCCCAGAAGACGUGUAAAAAAGACACCUUUUGUUAGGUUCGAGGCCGAGUCAUUACAAGUAACUUUUUCCGUAAAAUUUUCGGAGGCAAGCCUGCCGUCUUCUCUUGCCGCCAGUUUUUGAAGCGAAGUUUUAUUCUCGUCCCUUUUUCUUAUCUUUCUUUCCUUUUUUUUAAAAAAGAAGUUCGGGGCCGAGUUUGCUUUCGUUUUGUGUAUUUAAAGAAAGCACGUGUACGAACAUUUUAAGUUACGUAACCUCGACGGAACGCGGACGGCUAUUUCAAAUUUUCGAUGAGUAUUUUGCGACAACGAGAUGUGAUAAUCAGCGUCACUACAACCGUUUCGGAGAUAGGAAAUAGAAAAACGUGUUAUCAGGUGUAUUGGUUUCCCGUAAUUUAAUUAAUGUUUGGUGUGAUCGGACUGUACUUGGAUAUUUUGACUCGAAUACUGUAAAUAUAAUUUUAAGAGUAGCUGUAAUGUUUGCAUUUGAACACCCACGUGGGUUUUGUUUAUGCGGUUGGUUGGUUUCAUGUGUAAUUGUAAAAUAAAUUUUAUUUAUGUAAAAUUCCGCGAGUUGGGUAUUCAUUCGGACCAUUUACUGACGAAAAGAGAAGUCUCAAUUACCUACGCUUAAUUUUAUUGAUUCGCGACCAAAGUUCAUUUUGAGUGUUUGUCAAAAUUUGGUAACAUACCGUUUGGAAUUUAAGGAUUUUGAUCUUGAUCUGCCUGAAAUCAUGAAUUAAAAUCAUUCUUGUGUGUCGAGUAUGUACCGAAAUAAAUUUUCACUAAAGAGCUAUAGCUAGGCUUGAAAUGCGUUAUAUUUGACCUGAAGUUCAAGCGUCACAGCUUGUUAAUUGGCGCCUAACGUGGGGCAUUGUAGUUAUCUUUGUGUAUGGUUCUUUUUGGCCGGAACCAAUGGACACAGCAAUAUUAUUCUUAUUGGAAUUGUGUUCAUGUAAAUAAUUCUGUUAAAUACACGUUUCGUAAACUGUUGGGAAUAUACAGUAGUAACUAAUAGGGCCCGUAAUACGGUUUUGAAUUGAUAUCCGGUCGGUUAUUGAGCUUUUUUGGUGGAAUACAAGAUCAUACUUUUAUUAGGACAAGGAGAAGCACAAACAAGUGACUAGGAAGGGAUUUAAUUUCAAAAGAUGGGGGACUACAGCAGGCGACAUCUAACGGAGCGAUUUUACAACACGUAGGUAUUACAAAUAAAAUGCCUACGAUACUUUGAUUUUUCUUACAGCCGAAUCAAUCCUUAGUAAGGACGACAGCAGAGUUAAAAUUAAUUGGUGCUGCAUGAUACUGGUACGGUACCUAUCGAAAACAACUGAAAUCGAUUUUUACAAAAAUUGUUUAUUACAAUUUGCAGUAAAAGUUACAUUAACCAUACAAAUAGAAUAACGCUAACUUGUU